Molecule: small RNA, 83 nt
Filed under: Marmota monax (woodchuck)
Lineage: Eukaryota; Metazoa; Chordata; Mammalia; Rodentia; Sciuridae
Source: RNAcentral
GCUGGGUGUGGUGUUGCAUGCCUGUAAUCCCAGCGACUUGGGAGGCUGAGGCAGGAGGAUCGGAAGCUCAAAGCCAGCCUCAG